CCACUUCCAAAGUACAUAUACUAAAAUUGGAACGAUACAGAGAAGAUUAGCAUGGCCCCUGUGCA
This 65-nucleotide small nuclear RNA is filed under the name Haemaphysalis longicornis (longhorned tick). Lineage: Eukaryota; Metazoa; Arthropoda; Arachnida; Ixodida; Ixodidae. The record is from RNAcentral.